This is a long non-coding RNA of Epinephelus moara (kelp grouper), 1523 nucleotides long. RefSeq lists it as uncharacterized. The record is from RefSeq and is a predicted model, not a curated record. The transcript has 2 exons. NCBI's taxonomy places the organism in Eukaryota, Metazoa, Chordata, Actinopteri, Perciformes, Serranidae.
UGACACAGUGACACCAGAAAUCACAACCAGACUCAUCUGAGCCCCCAGCUGCACCCAUGGGACAGCUUUAGUACACCUAAACGCUGUCCCAUGUCUUCCUUCAGUGUGGCUGUGAGUUCUGGCGUCACCUCCGUGUUCCCUGACGAGGCAGGACUCUCUCUUCGUCCAACACCUGUCCACCACACCAGCUAAAGGUUGGUUAAGUUUUUACGAGACAGGACGACUGACGGCCAAAAUCUGGCAGGAUUCAUCCUCGUCUAACUGUCCAUCAGUUUACACCAUCAUCUUAUGCGGGAUUUAUACUUCUGCAUCAAAUCGACGCUGUACCUACACCGUACCCUGACGUGCACCUCCCCAGAAAUGUAACUCCACAGUGUCACAGUGACGCAGACCUCCUGUCUGUCUCUGUAAGCUGAAACCAUUUCCCUCAGUGGAAACAAAGCUUUGAUUUACUUUAAUUUCACAGAUAAGAAACAAUAAAUUGUGAAGACAAUAAAGCCUCCACACACUGUGUGUGAUUUAUCCUGGCUGAAAUAUGAGCAGAGGAAAUCUCUGCUAGCUGCUAGGCUCAUUUAUACAAUGUAAAAUGUGUGUUUAAUGUGUGUUUACUGUGUGUUUAGUGUUUAAUGUGUGUUUACUGUGUGUUUAGUGUGUGUUUACUGUGUGUUUAAUGUGUGUUUACUGUGUGUUUAGUGUUUAAUGUGUGUUUACUGUGUGUUUAAUGUGUGUUUACUGUGUGUUUANUGUUUAAUGUGUGUUUAGUGUGUGUUUAACGUGUGGUAACUGUAACUUUGGCCAUUUGAUUGGAUCUCAGACCCACUGACCCAACAGAGAGAGUACGGGUCAGGAAGCGUCAGCCUUUGUUAGGGUAAGCUUGUCAGUGUAAGUCGACCUGUCCUCUGCUGACAAAAUGUCCCCGCCGUUAACAAAGACAAAAAGGGUCGAGUUAUUUGAGCAGACUAAUUUGUGCUGCGUUGCGCACAUAAACUUUUUCUCCCGAGACUUCACGGGGCUCUACAGAUUCAUUCUUUAGUUUAAGUUGACAAAGAAGUUUUCUUUUCUCAGUUGGUGCACGGACAGGAAGUAGGAACUACCUGAGAUACUUGAGUAUAAACUUAAUAUCUUAUUGAAGAAUUUAAGAGAAACCAGCAAAUUUGCUGCAAAUUUGAUUUUCAGUUUUUGGGUUUAACAGCUGAGCAUCGAUUGGUUUGACGGAUUUAAACUUAAAUUAAAAAAAUUAUUUAAACGUUAAACCAUGGUGUAGCUGGUGUCUGGAGCCCUCUCUCUGUCAGCCUGCCCCCUGCUCUGGUUUCAGUCUGGGUUGAUGUGGAUCAAUCACACAGUGAGAUCUCUGUGGUGUAGCCGACACACUCUCGAGGUCUCUGGGUUUACAGCAGCAGUCCAGCAGAAAAACAUACAGGAACAUCCUGAGCCACAUCUAAACACCAAGAGAGGGACUUCAACUACCAACCAACCUGUCACACACACACACACACACACACACACACACACACACACACACA